This 484-nucleotide ribosomal RNA is filed under the name uncultured bacterium. RNAcentral describes it as "partial 16S ribosomal RNA". It matches the Rfam family "Bacterial small subunit ribosomal RNA", at positions 30 to 507 of the family's 1533-position model. The record is from RNAcentral.
AUUGAACGCUGGCGGCAGGCCUAACACAUGCAAGUCGAGCGGAUGAAGGGAGCUUGCUCCUGGAUUCAGCGGCGGACGGGUGAGUGAUGCCUAGGAAUCUGCCUGGUAGUGGGGGAUAACGUCCGGAAACGGGCGCUAAUACCGCAUACGUCCUGAGGGAGAAAGUGGGGGAUCUUCGGACCUCACGCUAUCAGAUGAGCCUAGGUCGGAUUAGCUAGUUGGUGGGGUAAAGACCUACCAAGGCGACGAUCCGUAACUGGUCUGAGAGGAUGAUCAGUCACACUGGAACUGAGACACGGUCCAGACUCCUACGGGAGGCAGCAGUGGGGAAUAUUGGACAAUGGGCGAAAGCCUGAUCCAGCCAUGCCGCGUGUGUGAAGAAGGUCUUCGGAUUGUAAAGCACUUUAAGUUGGGAGGAAGGGCAGUAAGUUAAUACCUUGCUGUUUUGACGUUACCAACAGAAUAAGCACCGGCUAACUUCGUG